Molecule: non-coding RNA, 28 nt
Filed under: Trichophyton rubrum
Lineage: Eukaryota; Fungi; Ascomycota; Eurotiomycetes; Onygenales; Arthrodermataceae
Also listed under: 22 other names
Source: RNAcentral
GUUGACCUCGGAUCAGGUAGGGAUACCC